UACAGAGGGCGCGAGCGUUGUCCGGAAUCACUGGGCGUAAAGGGCUCGUAGGUGGCCAACUAAGUCAGACGUGAAAUCCCUCGGCUUAACCGGGGAACUGCGUCUGAUACUGAAUGGCUUGAGUUCGGGAGAGGGAUGCGGAAUUCCAGGUGUAGCGGUGAAAUGCGUAGAUAUCGGAAGGAACACCGGUGGCGAAAGCGGCGCGCUGGACCUCUUCUGACGCUGAGGCGCGAAAGCCAGGGGAGCAAACGGG
RNAcentral lists this ribosomal RNA (253 nucleotides) under uncultured bacterium. Its description in RNAcentral is "partial 16S ribosomal RNA". It matches the Rfam family "Bacterial small subunit ribosomal RNA", at positions 524 to 776 of the family's 1533-position model. The record is from RNAcentral.